RNAcentral lists this ribosomal RNA (253 nucleotides) under uncultured bacterium. RNAcentral describes it as "partial 16S ribosomal RNA". It matches the Rfam family "Bacterial small subunit ribosomal RNA", at positions 524 to 776 of the family's 1533-position model. The record is from RNAcentral.
UACGGGGGGGGCAAGCGUUGUUCGGAAUUACUGGGCGUAAAGGGUUCGUAGGUGGCCAACUAAGUCAUACGUGAAAUCCCUCAGCUUAACUGGGGAACUGCGUCUGAUACUGGUUGGCUUGAGUGCAGGAGAGGAACGCGGAAUUCCUGGUGUAGCAGUGAAAUGCGUAGAUAUCAGGAGGAACACCGGUGGCGAAGGCAGGUCUCUGGGCUGACACUGACGCUCAUGCACGAAAGCGUGGGGAGCAAACAGG